RNAcentral lists this long non-coding RNA (550 nucleotides) under Setaria italica (foxtail millet). RNAcentral describes it as "long non-coding RNA (SITA_LNC007544)". Lineage: Eukaryota; Viridiplantae; Streptophyta; Magnoliopsida; Poales; Poaceae. The record is from RNAcentral.
ACCCCGGUUGUCGGCGUGUCCGUAUUCGGGCUCACGUGACCUAUAGCACACGUAUUCUUGGCCCAAAACGGGUCCGGCGGCCAUUUUCACAACUUCGGACCAUCCCCACGUUUUCAACCCCGGUUGUCGGCGUGUCCGUAUUCGGGCUCACGUGAAGCACACGUAUUCUUGGCCCAAAACGGGUCCGGCGGCCAUUUUCACAACUUCGGACCAUCCCCACAUUUUCAACCCCGGUUGUCGGCGUGUCCCUAUUCGGGCUCACGUGACCUAUAGCACACGUAUUCUUGGCCCAAAACGGGUCCGGAGGCCAUUUUCACGGCUUCGGACGAUCACCCACGUUUUCGACCCCGGUUGUCGGCGUGUCCCUAUUCGGGCUCAGGUGACCUAUAGCACAUGUAUUCUUGGCCCAAAACGGGUCCGGCGGCCAUUUUCACAACUUCGGACCAUCCCCACGUUUUCAACCCACGUUGUCGGCGUGUCCGUAUUCGGGCUCACAUGACCUAAAGCACACAUAUUCUUGGCCCAAAACGGGUCCGGCGGCCAUUUUCAC